GGAAGUAAAAGUCGCAACAAGGUUUCCGUAGGUGAACCUGCGGAAGGAUCAUUAUUGUGUAACCGAGGUGCGAGGGCUGUCGCUGACCCGAAAGGUCGUGCACGCCCGAGUGCCCUCACACACAUCCAUCUCACCCCUAUGUGCACCACCGCGUGGGUCCCCCUUUGGCUAGUUCGGAGGGGGGCUUACGUUUUCACACAAACUUUGUAUGCAGUGUAGAAUGUAUUUUUUGUUUUUGCGAUCACGCAAUCAAUACAACUUUCAACAACGGAUCUCUUGGCUCUC
Molecule: unclassified non-coding RNA, 285 nt
Filed under: plant metagenome
Description: partial contains small subunit ribosomal RNA, internal transcribed spacer 1, and 5.8S ribosomal RNA
Rfam family: Eukaryotic small subunit ribosomal RNA (bases 1-54)
Source: RNAcentral